Molecule: RNA transcript, 1538 nt
Organism: Haliotis rufescens (red abalone)
Lineage: Eukaryota; Metazoa; Mollusca; Gastropoda; Lepetellida; Haliotidae
Exons: 4
Source: RefSeq, a predicted model, not a curated record
GAACUGUUUUGCAAUUGUUUGGAUGGAUUAGUAUUUUUUCAUUUCAGAUAUUUUAUUGUUGCUGACAGUGGAAUGUGUCUUUAUUCAUGUUUUACAUACAAUGGACCUGAUUUAUAUUAAUGGUGCAGCUAUGAUAAAUAAUAAGGAAUUUUAAAGAAAUAUGGCAACCAGUUGUCAAGAACUUUCAAAAUGGCUUGUUCCGAAUGUUAGGAUCAUUUUCAAGAAAAUGUCUUUUUCAAAAGUAUUGCAUCUUCCUUUCAGAAACAUAAUUGCAGACUGCCUCUACUGGUUUGCAUCAUCAAGAUGGAGGAGGAGGAUGGUGAUGGUGAUGGUGAUGAAGGUAGUGAUGAUGUUGGCACUGAUGGAGUAUGGUGAAGAUGAUGGGACCUUGUUGGUUUGUGAAAAGAAGAUCCUUGAACCAUUUCCGAGAAGAAGAACAAGGGGGGACAGUGGAGGGACAAUGGAGGGAUGGACAGAUGACAGACACAGGCUAACAGAGAUAUUCUGUCCCAGUGAGACUGUCCAACAGACUUGAAAAGCACAAAUUUGAUUGAGAAUGGUUGAAAGCCUAGAAAGCUGAGAGCAUCAGCUGAUGACAUCUGCUGUUGUCUGCUGCUCGUUCUGUCACAAUAAAUACACAAACUGUCGUCUGCUACACAGACCUGUGACCGUCUGCCAUUGUCGUCUGCUUCUGUUGCCUUUCAAAGCUUUCAAAAAGUGAUGUCGCUUCACAACUUGGAACAAGUUUUGACUGAAGACUUUCGAGAAGUUUAUCCUCCCUUCACCAGUGUCGUCUGCUUGAGUCUCCAGCCUCUCUCCCGCUACCUCUCACGCCUCUAUUAUUUACUGGUCAUCCCCCAAUGAUUCAUGAAGCUAAAUCCUAAUUGUGUGUAGCACCCAGGGAGAAGGAGUAACAUGAUGAGGUGCCCACGUCCUUAUGAGGAAAUAUGAUGUUAACAUCCCAACAAAGUGAAGUACUCCAACUGGAACUAUUUUGGAUAUUUAUGGCACUCCAGAUUAACAAUUGUUCACAUGGGGUUUUCGCUUGACAUCGGAACAAAGUGCAGAUGUGGGUUGCAAAUUUGAGGCAGAUUUUGUUUCAUGGCCUUACAUGUGAUAAUUGAUCUUUUGGGGGCAGUAAUGAUUUUAUGAGGAUUUGGAAGUUUAUGGGGGUGAUUAACAGUCCCAGAACACUGACCAUUGCCUGGAAGUCUGGAGAGAUGUCUCGUCUUUGGAAUCGGUCAAAUAUUUCAUGAUGAAUUAUUAUUUGUUCAUUUAUGAAAGUGUUAAAUGUUGAGUAAUAGAAUAAAUAUUGAAGUAUUAAUCAAUGUUGAUUUCAAUCAUGAAAUAUCUGUCUUAUUCUAUGGCCGACUAGUAGUGACAUCAGCAAUAAUAUAAUAACCUUAUGGAGUUCCGAAAGACGAUAAAACAGCAGAUGUAGAGUUACUUCCCUUCUUCAAAUAUCCUUACAAGAAAUAUUCUUUUAGAUUGUUAAAUGAUCUGCAAUUGUAUGUUCCUGAAUAAUACCCUUGAGUUCA